UACGUAGGGUGCGAGCGUUUGUCCGGAAUUAUUGGGCGUAAAGGGCUCGUAGGCGGUCUGUCGCGUCGGGAGUGAAAACUCAGGGCUUAACCCUGAGCCUGCUUCCGAUACGGGCAGACUAGAGGUAUGCAGGGGAGAACGGAAUUCCUGGUGUAGCGGUGGAAUGCGCAGAUAUCAGGAGGAACACCGGUGGCGAAGGCGGGUCUCUGGGCCGAUACUGACGCUGAGGAGCGAAAGCGUGGGGAGCGAACAGG
This 254-nucleotide ribosomal RNA is filed under the name uncultured bacterium. RNAcentral describes it as "partial 16S ribosomal RNA". It matches the Rfam family "Bacterial small subunit ribosomal RNA", at positions 524 to 776 of the family's 1533-position model. The record is from RNAcentral.